AGUGAACGCUGGCGGCGUGCCUAAUACAUGCAAGUCGAACGGAGUGGCGCACGGGUGAGUAAUGUAUAGCUAAUCUGCCCUACACUAGAGGACAACAGUUGGAAACGACUGCUAAUACUCUAUAGUGUAGGAUGAGGCUAUAUUGUAUCAGCUAGUUGGUGAGGUAAUGGCUCACCAAGGCGAUGACGCAUAACUGGUCUGAGAGGAUGAUCAGUAUCACUGUAAGUGAGACACGGUCCAGGCUCAUCCGGGAAGCAGCAGAAGGGAAUAUUGCUCAAUGGGGGAAACCCUGAAACGGCAACGCCGCGUGAAGGAUGACACUUUUCGGAGCGUAAACUCCUUUUGUUAGGGAAGCGGUACCUAACGAAUAAGCACCGGCUAACUCCGUGCCAGCCGCCGCGGUAAUUC
Molecule: ribosomal RNA, 408 nt
Filed under: uncultured bacterium
Lineage: Bacteria
Description: partial 16S ribosomal RNA
Rfam family: Bacterial small subunit ribosomal RNA
Source: RNAcentral